Oncorhynchus keta (chum salmon) is the source of this 1576-nucleotide long non-coding RNA. RefSeq lists it as uncharacterized. The record is from RefSeq and is a predicted model, not a curated record. The transcript has 3 exons. NCBI's taxonomy places the organism in Eukaryota, Metazoa, Chordata, Actinopteri, Salmoniformes, Salmonidae.
CAUGGUAACACUUAAGGGGAAUAGGUCUAAAACAUGAUCUCAUGGUAACACUUAGGGGGAUCAGUCUAAAACAUGAUCUCAUGGUAACACUUAGGGGGGAUCAGUCUAAAACAUGAUCUCAUGGUAACACUUAGGGGGAAUAGGUCUAAAACGUGAUCUCAUGGUAACACUUAGGGGGGAUCAGUCUAAAACAUGAUCUCAUGGUAACACUUAGGGGGGGAUCAGUCUAAAACAUGAUCUCAUGGUAACACUUAGGGGGAAUAGGUCUAAAACAUGAUCUCAUGGUAACACUUAGGGGGAAUAGGUCUAAAACAUGAUCUCAUGGUAACACUUGGGGGAUCAGUCUAAAACAUGAUCUCAUGGUAACACUUAGGGGGAAUAGAUCUAAAACAUGAUCUCAUAAUGACACUUAGGGGGGGGAUCAGUCUAAAACAUGAUCUCAUGGUAACACUUAGGGGGAAUAGGUCUAAAACAUGAUCUCAUGGUAACACUUAGGGGGAAUAGGUCUAAAACAUGAUCUCAUGGUAACACUUAGGGGGAAUAGGUCUAAAACAUGAUCUCAUGGUAACACUUAGGGGGAAUAGCUCUAAAACAUGAUCUCAUGGUAACACUUAGGGGGGAUCAGUCUAAAACAUGAUCUCAUGGUAACACUUAGGGGGAAUAGGUCUAAAACAUGAUCUCAUGGUAACACUUAGGGGGGGAUCAGUCUAAAACAUGUUCUCAUAAUGACACUUAGGGGGGAUUAGUCUAAAACAUGAUCUCAUGGUAACACUUAUGGGGGAUCAGUCUAAAACAUGAUCUCAUGGUAACACUUAGGGGGAAUAGGUCUAAAACAUGAUCUCAUGGUAUCACUUAGGGGGGGGGGAUCAGUCUAAAACAUGAUCUCAUGGUAACACUUAGGGGGGAAUCAGUCUAAAAUAUGAUAUCAUGGUAACACUUAGGGGGAAUAGGUCUAAAACAUGAUCUCAUGGUAACACUUGGGGGAUCAGUCUAAAACAUGAUCUCAUGGUAACACUUAUGGGGGGGAUCAGUCUAAAACAUGAUAUCAUGGUAACACUUAGGGGUCUUAUGACUGGUUUUUAUAAAGGGGCUAUGACUGGUUUUAUAAAGGGGCUAUGACUGGUUUUAUAAAGAGGCUAUUACUGGUUUUAUAAAGAGGCUAUUACUGGUUUUAUAAAGGGGCUAUGGCUGGUUUUAUAAAGGGGCUAUUACUGGUUUUAUAAAGGGGCUAUGACUAGUUUUAAAAAGGGGCUAUGACUGGUUUUAUAAAGGGGCUAUUACUGGUUUUAUAAAGGGGCUAUUACUGGUUUUAUAAAGGGGCUAUGACUGGUUUUAUAAAGGGUCUAUGACUGGUUUUAUAAAGGGGCUAUGACUGGUUUUAUAAAGGGGCUAUGACUAGUUUUAAAAAGGGGCUAUGACUGGGUUUAUAAAGGGGCUAUGGUUGGUUUUAUAAAGGGGUUCUAUAAAGGGGCUAUGACUGGUUUUAUAAAGGGGCUAUGACUUGUUUUAUAACAAAGAUAUGACUGGUUUUAUAAAGGGGCUAUGACUGGUUUUAUAAAGGGGCUAUUACUGGUUU